Brassica napus (rape) is the source of this 2395-nucleotide long non-coding RNA. RefSeq lists it as uncharacterized. The record is from RefSeq and is a predicted model, not a curated record. The transcript is spliced from 4 exons. NCBI's taxonomy places the organism in Eukaryota, Viridiplantae, Streptophyta, Magnoliopsida, Brassicales, Brassicaceae.
GGAAUAUAUCAAUACAUAUAUACAUUUAUAUCGUGCUGGAAAUAAGUUACUUGUUACCAUUUUGCAAAUCACGCCAUGUCAACAAAUUAAUGUAACCGACUAAAAUGGUGUAUUUAAUUAUAUUAAAUUAUCAUUUAAUCAAUUUGCAUUGCGCAGCAAGGUAAACGUGAUUAACUACUAAAAUCUAUCUUUGGGUGAUUAACUACUAAAAUCUAUCUUUGGGAACUUAAAAGAUAUUUAGGAAACCAGUAAUAUAGUAAUAAAUCGAUACACUAUAUAUGACCGUAAAUCAGUGGUAUAUUUACCUUACCCUUAAAAUAGCAAUAAAUCGAUACACUGAUUUAAAUUGAGUAUACCACUAUUCUAAUUCUAAUAUUUUUUAACACAAUUCUAAUUCUACUAUGAAGGAAAAAUUAAUAUCAUAAAAAAUAUACAUUGACCAGAAGCAUGUUAACCUGACAUAUCAUAAAGAAAAUACUGUAUGUACAAUGUUCUCUCUGAUGAAUAUGUAUAAUUAGAUUAUACGACAUUAUCAAUGGUCUUGCAUUUUUAAUAGUGGUUACAAAUUGGGGAUUGUAUUGAGUAACUACGAAAUCUGUUAUCACUUCAUUUAAAAAAUCAUACAUCAAUAUUAAAAUUGCAUAAUGAAGAAAUCCAAUAAGGAAUAAAAAAUGUUAACAUCAAAGCCUAUUGAUGUUCAAUACAUCUAUAAUAAUAAAACAGGGUUUUCUCUCACUUUAGUCUUCCACGUCACCGCAGAGGGUAGGGCGUUUUUCACCACGUGGCAUGUAAAAAAAAUUCUGACUUCGACGAUUGUGUGCUUUUGUCUGAGCUGAACUUUUUGUUUUUAAUAUGGAUAGAUUACGUUUGGGCUUUUACAUAAGCCCCUCACAAAGUAUGCAGACAGAUCCAUUAAUCUUUAGGGUUUUAAUCAUCAGUCGUUGGUGAAGAUUUGUUGCAGAAAAGUCGUGCCUCUUGAGAUAACAUCGGCUCCGGCCAAGCUUGAGUAACAGCUACAUUCAUCAUUGUUCUGUCGCAUUAAAAUCAAGCAUUUACAUGAUUUACAUCGAUUCGGUUUCAAUCAAAACCGUUGCAGCCUCAUUACUUUUUCCGUAUAUUAAAGCCGAGUAUGCAGUCUUUUGUUACUAUUUACAAAACGUUCUCUUUAGGCACUGAAGAAAGAAAAAGUUCCACUGCCAUCCUCUAUACCUGCCAAAUCCGGAGGUGGAACACAGAAGAAGAUGGAGCUAAGGAAAGCAAAAAUAGAAGGUGAACAACAGUUUCUCUUCGAUCAGGCAACUACCGACAAACUUCGGUCUGAAGGCCUUAUGUUCAGAUUGAUCUAGCCUAUUUUCGCUGACUGUGUUCGUGCAAGUUACUAUCUCCACUCUUUAAAGGUUCAAACUUUUCAGCUCCUGCAUCGUGUGUGUGUGUGUGUGUGUGUUAUUUUCUAGCUAAUUCAAUGGGUUUGGUUCUCUUUCAUGGAUUUGAAUAUCAAUUAUCAGUUAUUUGUUAUAUUUUAUAAAAGCGCAACGUUUUCAACUUUUUCUGGAUAAGCUCUUUAUGGUGAUCUUAGUUUUUUAAUGCUUUUGAUUGAUAUAACUGGAUGGAUUUUGAUAACAUAUUUAUGUCUUUCCAUCAUUUUGUUAAAACCAAAACCUUCUUGAUAUUCAUAUUAGUGAGUUUGUUCGUUAUUGGGUACGCUUUUUAAGCUUAAGUAAGAAACGUCCUUCUUGCUUACUUGCUUGUGACUAAAUGAUCUUACUUUCGUAUGGUUUUCACACUGAUGUUGUACUAGAAAAUUAGUAAGUCUUUGGUCAUUCAAAAGAAGACCAUGAUGAGCUACUCCUAAGUGUUGUGGGCGUGUACUACAUGGUCAAACGGCUAAGUAUUUCAUGGUAAAGACAUUGCUACUAUCUAUAUGUUUGGUUGUUUGGAUGUGAUAGGAUAUAGGAUUGGGUGGAGCAUGGAGCAUGGAGCUUAAGUGGCAGAUUGUUGUUUGAUGGCUGAAGCAGAGAGGUAUAUGGGAAAGAAUAGGAAGCGAGAGAACAAAGGGAAAUGGGGUCUACACCUCAAGCCUUUUCAAGCUAUGUGAAUGAUUUGGACCUGAUAGAUUUCAUGGAGUUGCAGCUGCUGUCUCACAGUUGAGAAGCGUCUGUAGAAUGCUGCAAGUGAUCUACAAUGAGAUAUUCAAAGGGAAUAUGACGAAAAAGUUGGAUGCAUACAACCUGUUGAAGAUUGAUCCGACCAAAGUGCACUGAGUUUACAGUAUACUUGUGAAGAAGGGUACUGCUCAACAUGAAAACAUCUAAACGCAUGUCUAUGGCUCUUUACAUUGUAUGUUUAUGCCUCUUUACAUUAUCAGUACAUUUAUAGUGAACUUGAAGCUAGAAUA